AGCUGUGCUAUUUAAAGCGAAAAUAUUAUGCCGAAUUUUUCACGAAGGAGUAUUGGCCGUGGGAUCAUGUAACUAAGAGAAACAUGGGUGGCUUGAAACUUGGAAGUAGAAUAAAGGUAUGCUACAGUAACCAUGCAUGUGCCUAUCAUGAUAAAUUCGUAGAAUGCUUUUUCGCUUGAAGUAGCAUUUUCCUUAAAUUUAUGAUAAUUACAAAACUAACCUGCUAUUGAAAACCCGAAAUUACCCUGCCCUCCCCAAAAGGGGGAAUAUACUAACCUACGACGCGCUACUACAGUCAACACAGAACGUUACCGUGUUUCCUUCCUUUCUUCCACUCGCCACCAUCACCAUUUCCUUCUUCUUCGAUUCCAUUACAUCACAAAGAGAUUGUCGCAGAUUGGUUGACGAAUUUUC
Molecule: long non-coding RNA, 414 nt
Filed under: Trifolium pratense (red clover)
Lineage: Eukaryota; Viridiplantae; Streptophyta; Magnoliopsida; Fabales; Fabaceae
Description: long non-coding RNA (TPRA_LNC007142)
Source: RNAcentral